GGGAGGAUUGUCCAGUGGUUAAGACACUGGUCUAGGAUAUCAGAGGCCUGGUUUCAAUUCCCUGCUCUGCCA
This 72-nucleotide transfer RNA is filed under the name Chelonia mydas (Green sea turtle). It matches the Rfam family "tRNA". Rfam says of the family: Transfer RNA (tRNA) molecules are approximately 80 nucleotides in length. Lineage: Eukaryota; Metazoa; Chordata; Testudines; Cheloniidae. The record is from Rfam by way of RNAcentral.